This is a non-coding RNA of Coturnix japonica (Japanese quail), 681 nucleotides long. The record is from RefSeq and is a predicted model, not a curated record. NCBI's taxonomy places the organism in Eukaryota, Metazoa, Chordata, Aves, Galliformes, Phasianidae.
GGAGGGAAAUAAAUAAAUAAAAGCGAGCGAGAGUCGGCGAAGGAGAGGGAGGCAGGUUCAAUUAUCUAAACAAAGAAAUCAUGGCGGAGUGUUUACAUUUGGCUGCCCAAAGCCUGUCGGAUUACGGACCCCCCCCAAACACACCCGGCCCCCCCCCGCAGUAGCGCCGUGCCGGAGCCCGCCCGCCGACACCUCGCCGCGGCCCGGAGUCUGAAACAGCUGCUUUGAAGAGAUCUUUCACGUGAAUGACUAGGCUGUGAAUUGAUAAGAAUGUUGAUAAGGAGGAACAGAUGGCAGCAGCACCAUCCUGUCUCAGCACCGAACACUGUUUGGGAGAUGUAUGCAAUGUAAAAAGCAGCCCUGUGUGGAAAAGCAGAUAGUACUCCUGCAAAGUAAGAGCAAAUCCAAGGAGAAAACUGGCUUCUGAGAAGGUUCCAGUGGAACAAAGAAAUGGACUGAUGACAUCUGCCUUUCUCCAUCCAUACCUUCCCCAGCCCCAGGCUGUAUUGGGGAUCAGCAUGCCAUGUACGCCAGUACACAGCUCAUAGAGUUGCAUCUCAGGAACCGACUCAAAAAGGAAUUAUAACUUUUGUUUCCCUGGAAAAGAAGGAAGGGAAAAUAAAAGAAGAGAAAGAGAAGAGAAAAGAGAAAAGAGAAGGGAAGAGAAGAGAAGAGAAGAGA